This 387-nucleotide ribosomal RNA is filed under the name Hyalomma marginatum. Its description in RNAcentral is "partial large subunit ribosomal RNA". The record is from RNAcentral. Lineage: Eukaryota; Metazoa; Arthropoda; Arachnida; Ixodida; Ixodidae.
AAGGUAUUGUAAUAAGAUUUUAAUUGAAUGCUAAAAGAAUGGAAAUUUAAAAAAAAACUUUUUUAAAAAUAAAAAUUGAAUUUUUUUUAAUUUGUGCAAAAACAAUUAUACUUAUUAAAGACAAGAAGACCCUAAGAAUUUAAGAUUUUACAAUUAAAAAGUUUUUUUUUUAAAAUCUUGAUUGGGGCGAUCAAAAAAUAUUAAUAACUUUUUAAAAUUUAAAUUGAUCUAUUAUUAAUAAACUAAUGAAUUAAAUACUCUAGGGAUAACAGCGUAAUAAUUUUUGAUAGAUCUUAUUGACAAAAUAGUUUGCGACCUCGAUGUUGGAUUAGGAUUCUUUUUUAAUGAAGAAGUAAAAAAAGAAGUUUGUUCAACUUUUAAAUUCCU